Non-coding RNA from Neomonachus schauinslandi (Hawaiian monk seal), 73 nucleotides. Lineage: Eukaryota; Metazoa; Chordata; Mammalia; Carnivora; Phocidae. The record is from the annotation of a RefSeq genome assembly.
ACCUGACUGGCUCAGUUGGUAGAGCAUAGGACUAUUGAUCUUGGGGUUGUGGGUUCAGGCCCCACAUCGGGCA